RNAcentral lists this ribosomal RNA (497 nucleotides) under uncultured bacterium. Its description in RNAcentral is "partial 16S ribosomal RNA". It matches the Rfam family "Bacterial small subunit ribosomal RNA", at positions 28 to 507 of the family's 1533-position model. The record is from RNAcentral.
GAUGAACGCUGGCGGCGUGCCUAAUACAUGCAAGUCGAGCGAACAGACGAGGAGCUUGCUCCUCUGACGUUAGCGGCGGACGGGUGAGUAACACGUGGAUAACCUACCUAUAAGACUGGGAUAACUUCGGGAAACCGGAGCUAAUACCGGAUAAUAUAUUGAACCGCAUGGUUCAAUAGUGAAAGACGGUUUUGCUGUCACUUAUAGAUGGAUCCGCGCCGCAUUAGCUAGUUGGUAAGGUAACGGCUUACCAAGGCAACGAUGCGUAGCCGACCUGAGAGGGUGAUCGGCCACACUGGAACUGAGGCACGGUCCAGACUCCUACGGGAGGCAGCAGUAGGGAAUCUUCCGCAAAGGGCGAAAGCUUGACGGAGCAACGCCGCGUGAGUGAUGAAGGUCUUCGGAUCGUAAAACUCUGUUAUUAGGGAAGAACAAAUGUGUAAGUAACUAUGCACGUCUUGACGGUACCUAAUCAGAAAGCCACGGCUAACUACGUG